GUGUUCCCUUCAGCAGCACAUAUACUAAAACUGGACGGAUCCAGACAAGAUUAGCAUGGCUCCUGCACAAAAGGGGAGUAUUGAGUGGUUUGUAAUGUAU
Molecule: small nuclear RNA, 100 nt
Filed under: Nannospalax galili (Upper Galilee mountains blind mole rat)
Lineage: Eukaryota; Metazoa; Chordata; Mammalia; Rodentia; Spalacidae
Source: RNAcentral